This 425-nucleotide ribosomal RNA is filed under the name Acanthamoeba genotype T4. RNAcentral's name for it is "SSU rRNA". It matches the Rfam family "Eukaryotic small subunit ribosomal RNA", at positions 790 to 1107 of the family's 1831-position model. The record is from RNAcentral. Lineage: Eukaryota; Discosea; Longamoebia; Acanthamoebidae.
GGCAGAUCCAAUUUUCUGCCACCGAAUACAUUAGCAUGGGAUAAUGGAAUAGGACCCUGUCCUCCUWUUUUCAGUUGGUUUUGGCAGCGCGAGGACUAGGGUAAUGAUUAAUAGGGAUAGUUGGGGGCAUUAAUAUUUAAUUGUCAGAGGUGAAAUUCUUGGAUUUAUGAAAGAUUAACUUCUGCGAAAGCAUCUGCCAAGGAUGUUUUCAUUAAUCAAGAACGAAAGUUAGGGGAUCGAAGACGAUCAGAUACCGUCGUAGUCUUAACCAUAAACGAUGCCGACCAGCGAUUAGGAGACGUUGAAUACAAAACACCACCAUCGGCGCGGUCGUCCUUGGCGUCUGUCCCUUUCAACGGGGGCAGGCGCGAGGGCGGUUUAGCCCGGUGGCACCGGUGAAUGACUCCCCUAGCAGCUUGUGAGAA